AGCCUUUAGCCCAACAAGUAUUAAAGGUCCUGCCUGCCCAGUGAGAUUUUAACGGCCGCGGUACCCUAACCGUGCAAAGGUAGCGUAAUCACUUGUCCCCUAAAUAGGGACCAGUAUGAACGGCUAAAUGAGGGUACACCUGUCUCCUACGGCCAAUCAAUGAACCUGAUCUCCUAGUACAAAAGCUAGGAUAACCCCAUAAGACGAGAAGACCCCGCGGAGCUUAAAACACCAAUACUACCAAACUAAACCACCACCAGGCCCACUACCGCCAGAUAGUAUAAGUUUUCAGUUGGGGCGACUACGGAACAAAAACAAACUUCCAUGCCAGGACAACCAAAACCAGGCCCACAAGCCACAAAAUCCUUGACCCAGUAAUACUGAUCAACGAACCAAGUUACCCCGGGGAUAACAGCGCCAUCCUCUUCUAGAGCCCACAUCGCCAAGAGGGUUUACGACCUCGAUGUUGGAUCAGGACCCCCUGGUGGUGCAACCGCUACCAAAGGUUCGUUUGUUCAACGAUUAACAGUCCU
Molecule: ribosomal RNA, 533 nt
Filed under: Sphaerodactylus lineolatus
Lineage: Eukaryota; Metazoa; Chordata; Lepidosauria; Squamata; Sphaerodactylidae
Description: partial 16S ribosomal RNA
Rfam family: Bacterial large subunit ribosomal RNA
Source: RNAcentral